AUUGAACGCUGGCGGCAGGCCUAACACAUGCAAGUCGAGCGGAUGAAGGGAGCUUGCUCCUGGAUUCAGCGGCGGACGGGUGAGUAAUGCCUAGGAAUCUGCCUGGUAGUGGGGGAUAACGUCCGGAAACGGGCGCUAAUACCGCAUACGUCCUGAGGGAGAAAGUGGGGGAUCUUCGGACCUCACGCUAUCAGAUGAGCCUAGGUCGGAUUAGCUAGUUGGUGGGGUAAAGGCCUACCAAGGCGGCGAUCCGUAACUGGUCUGAGAGGAUGAUCAGUCACACUGGAACUGAGACACGGUCCAGACUCCUACGGGAGGCAGCAGUGGGGAAUAUUGGACAAUGGGCGAAAGCCUGAUCCAGCCAUGCCGCGUGUGAAGAAGGUCUUCGGAUUGUAAAGCACUUUAAGUUGGGAGGAAGGGCAGUAAGUUAAUACCUUGCUGUUUUGACGUUACCAACAGAAUAAGCACCGGCUAACUUCGUA
RNAcentral lists this ribosomal RNA (482 nucleotides) under uncultured bacterium. RNAcentral's name for it is "partial 16S ribosomal RNA". It matches the Rfam family "Bacterial small subunit ribosomal RNA", at positions 30 to 507 of the family's 1533-position model. The record is from RNAcentral.